RNAcentral lists this long non-coding RNA (3793 nucleotides) under Gallus gallus (chicken). RNAcentral describes it as "lncRNA (ENSGALG00010016246.1)". Lineage: Eukaryota; Metazoa; Chordata; Aves; Galliformes; Phasianidae. The record is from RNAcentral.
AGAUAAACAGGGGUUUACAUACACAUAGUUAAAGUAGUCCUUUCUUUCUUGUUAUAACAAUAAGGGCCACUGUUUUUGUGUUUGGUCUUGAGUGACAAAAUAUUUAUACUAAAAUACUUAAGAAUAAAUACUGGAAAGAUGGGAUAAGUUUUUGUUUUUAAACAUCUGUUUUAAAGUGAUAUGAGGGAGUGAAAUUAAAUUUAAUAAUCUCUCUUCCUUCCUCUGCUUUUGAAUUCAUAAGACAGUGUGGUAGGACAUAUGUUUCAGAUCUACUGUGGUAUUUUCAGAUGUAGACAAUUCAUUAUCCUUGGUUCUCCUUUUCUAUGUAAACCAUGAUUUUUCUAAGUACAAAAUUGUCUACUAAAUUGUCCCCAGGUUACACAACACAAAAAGUAUUUGUAUACAGUAAAGCAUUACCUCCACCUGCUAUAGACAGUGUUUAUCCUGCACUUUUUUUUUUUUUUACUAAUUUUUUCCUACUGGACUGUAGCCAGGAAGCUCAAUAGUUAGUUGGAAAGCAAAGGAUUUUUCAUGUCAAAUUGUCCAGUUUAUUUUACAUAAGUUUAACUAACUAUUGGUCCUUUUUUUUGAGAGAGUAGAAGGGAAUUCCUUCCGUGCUUUUAGUAGAUGCUUCUCCACUAGAAAACUCAUUUUUGCUGUCCUUGUCAUAACUGUAUGGCAAACAGGUAUACAGAUUGCAAGGUAUACAGGUAUAGGACCAGAGAGAUUAUUGUGUUUACAAAGGAGUAGUGAAAUGAAGAGCUUACCCGUGUCCUGGGCUCAUGGAAGGGUUCCAAGAGGAAGGAUCUUUGGGAGUCAGCCCUUAAAUGGGGUCUAGGAGGAGUGGAGCCUGGCAUCAAUCCUUCCGGUCACUCAGGUGAAAUUGCAUUCACCUGUGCCCCUGCAGCUGACUCAGCACUCACCUCAGGUGGUCAAUCAGAGGUUCAGGCUGUGAUUCAACAGUUCCCAUACACAUAACCCAACUCAGAUAUGUGAGUACUUUAAAUCUGACCACAGGAUGUGUGCAGAUUUAAGUACUCAGCUAUAGGACUUCUGCGCAAAGGUUAAUCAUUCACUCAAAAAUGUUCAUCCAUUGUACCAACUACCUGCUUGUUCUGAUGUAUAUAAUAUUUUCUGAACAACUUUGAUUAUACCUGUGCCCACCUGUAUGCCUCAGAGCAUCACCCCUUCCUGGACCGGUAGACCAGAUUAAUCAGAAAGAGAACUUUACCACACAGAACCUAAAUCUUUUGGCUGACUGUCCAUGUGAAUCAGUCAGUCGAGUACAAAGCAGAAACAUAACAUUUUUUUUUCUCCCAUGUCCAACAAAGCUGUGCUUAAUUAGGCAUUUAAGAGAGACUUAACUUCCACAGUUCUCACCACACGUUAUUUUCAAGCAACUCAGUGAUCUGAAACAGCAAUUAGUUUCAAUUCACACCUAUUAUCUGCCUUUAGUUCACUGUUAAUUCAAAGUCUAAAUUCCCCUCCUUGACAAAAUAUGAUAAUUUUCUCUUUUUGUAAGUGUUUCCUCUGAAGUUCUGAAAACUAUCAAAGCCAAAUGCCAUUACUUAAAACCUCAUACAGAAGACUGAAAUCAUUUCUCAACUUUUCUGCUCUCAUGUUUUUAUCCUCUUGCUUUCCCUCAGUGUAUUGUUUCAACACUCCUUUCUUCAACAUACUUCUCCCUAAAUCACUGUCAUAUCUUCAUGGGAUUUCAUAGUGCUACCAAUAAAGAGGAUUUGGAUCAAUGUAGUAGCAUAGAACACUACAAAUAAGCAAGAAAUAAAAGAUCAGGCAGAAAGGCUGAAACAUAAGGUCUUCCCCUUUCUUACACAUCACAAGCUGUUCUGCAGUUCCACCAGGAGAGUACUUAAUAUGAAAAAAGAGAAGACUUCAAAACCUAAAUUACUUAAAAAUGCCUGCAAACAAAUGAACAAACAAAAAUUUAAAAAAUAGCCCCCAUUCUAUUAUUUAUCAGUUGGUUAUAAAUAAAUCAGUGAUACCCACAGCUCUGUGGGUAUAGCUUAUUCUUGUCACUUAUUUGUUCCAGAUGUUACUGCUACUUAAUAACAGAUAUUAACGGGUAAAAAUAACUUAAUCUUCAAAGGUCUUUUGUCUAAGUGCCUCUUCUGCAACUUGAACAAGAUCACACUCAGAAAAGGACUCAGAAAAGAAAACAGUCAAGUGAGUACCAGCAUAAACACUUGAAAUAUGCAUUUGUUACUACUAUAUCCCAUUAUUUUUCCUUUUGAAAACCAAUGCUCAUAAAUUCUGACAACUGAUUACCUUAAUUGCUGUUAUUAGCUUUUUAGAAGUUUAUUCUAUGUAAUUUUAAAAUUGAUCUUCUCCUUAGUUUUUGAAUGCUAAUUUUGAAUUUUGUGAAAAAAAUAAGAAGAGGAAUGACAUUUCAAAUAUCUUGCUGAUGAGCUGACAAUACAGAAUUACCCAUCACUACUAAAUGACUUUUCCUCCAUAUACAGUAAAAAGUUACUUACCAGUGCACCUGUUGAUGUGCUUUCAUACAUACUGCAGAAUUAGUAUGUUAGAUAUACUGCUUUGAGGUCCUGCAAACCAAAAAAUCUGCUAAACUUUCAUCUCUUCAAUUACAUUGCCAGUGUUACACAAAAUAGUUUGAAAUUCUUUCUCAGAAGAGCCCAUCAUGAAAUCUCCACACAUUUCAAGAUUGACAACAUUUAUAUGAGUCUUUUUAGUAUGUCCACAGACUGUAUAUAUGUUUAUUGUGGAUUGUAUUUUAAAAAACAAGGUUUUCAGUGAAAAAGUGGGGAGACAGACAGUUCUACGCUUGAUGAGAUUUUAGAAAAAUCUGAGCUGAAUCUGUUGGUUCAGAUGGAAAUCUGGACCUAUUCCUAAUAUGAACCAUGGGCACAUCUUCAGAUUUUCUGAUUUUGGCACAAAUGUUUACAGUUUAUACGUAUGCUAUACAACACUGCCAAACAACCUUCAAGCUCCAGCUUAUAAAUCUUGUGCAUACCUUCAGACAAAUGCAAAUGUACAUAUGAAAAUUACUCUAAUGAAAAUUUGAAUUCUCUCUCACUUCAGUUGCUAAGAAGACAAGCAUAUGCACACAGGUCAGUUUGCAGUUAACUAUGUUAAAGACCUAAAUAAACUCAACAUCAGAUGAAACUUAAAAGCCAAAUUAGAAUUUACCCAAAUAUACUAUCCAUUUGAGACAAAUUUGUUUUAUAGAGCUACCAUCUCACACUCUUUCCAAAAUGGAAAUGCAGAGCAACAGCAAAAUAACUGCAAAGAAUUUGACUCAAAAAAACUUUUGGGACAUUUUGUCCAAAAAAACCCAGUCCUUCUUGAUGUGUAAAGUUAUAUAGAAUCUGCACAAUUAUUUGAGAUAUCAAAAUAGAGAAAGGAAAUUAAUGAACUUCAUAUUUGUAUAACGACAGAAAGUGGGGAUUAAAAAAACAGCAAAUCUUAGCUGGUGGUCAGAACUUUGUCUCCAAACCAACGAGGAAUACAACUGUACUUGCUUUGCAAGGGUUAAUUCUGGAAAUCUCAGCAGUACAUUUUCUAGAAAAUUUUGUUGCAUACUGCAGUCAAAUCUGGCCUACCACCAGAGAUUCAGCCUCUCAAAAUUGAGGAUGUUCAAGCUCUAAACACUUACAAAUGCUCUGCUUUUCAUCUACAUUUCCUAUCAAAUUUAGAAACAUCUUUCAUAUGUUUAGUUUUAACACAGAUUUCAGUACUCCUUGAACUUAUUUUAAACCAUUUCAUAGCUAUCCUUCCUGCCUGUUCAACACAUCAAGUGCUUCAGUGCCAGCUG